RNAcentral lists this long non-coding RNA (1247 nucleotides) under Sus scrofa (pig). RNAcentral describes it as "lncRNA (ENSSSCG00035062406.1)". The record is from RNAcentral. Lineage: Eukaryota; Metazoa; Chordata; Mammalia; Artiodactyla; Suidae.
CCUUUCUCUAUUAGAAACAUGGUAGUUUCCUAUCCAAGAAGAGAAUUUCUCUACUGCCUACUCUCUGGUGUUUUAGGAGUUAAGGUGGCAUUUAUGGGCUCAAGUCAAUCUUAUAAAAUUGAAAAUGAGCCCAGACCAUCUCCUUUAAGCCUCAUUAAUGAAAAAAAUUGGCUGAACUAGACUCUGGGCUGAGUUUUCUUUGAGUUAAAGGAGAACCAGGUGAAUCAUCUCAAAAGAAUUAAGACAGCCUACUGUUGCAGCUCCAGUAACCAAUUUAGUUACUGAAGGCUUCUAAAGGAAUAGGGGAAACUUCAAUGAUUACAGCAUGGACCUUUCCCAAGGGCCUCCAGUAGUUCUGUGCAGUGCCAGCCAUAAAGAAGAGGGGGAUGGAAACUGGAACAUGAGGGAUGAGAACUAGAGAGGGAUGACAAAUGGAUGUCAGUUCUAAUCAAUUAGUGGCUGCUGCUUGGCCACUGGGUUGGAAAGUUGGGAAAGUUGUAUCUGGGGUCAUAGGAAAGGGCACUAUUAUUGAUUAUCAGUGUCUGCUAGGGGUCCACAGAGGGAUGUGGGUCCAGAUACAGUCACCUACACUCACUGAGUGUUGCUACUAUUCCUCGAGCUCAAAUUUGCUAUGAGUCUUGGAGGCAAAAAUAUUAUUUGGAAACAAUUGAUAACUUUUUCAAAGAUAGAUUUAUGUAUUUAUCUGUUUAUCUAUCUGUCUAUCUCUAGGAAAAUGUUCUGGAGAAGAGGGAAUCUGAAUUUGGCUUUGAAAUUUGAAUAGUGGUCCUAAGGCACAAGGGACAGAAUUCCUGGCAGCAGGAUCCAAGAUGGGAAAGGCCCAGAGAUGGGGCAGGUUAUUAUGCAUUUGAAGACCUCUGGAUUUGCUGAAGCAGCUGCAGAAUAUAUAGGUAAGAAUAUUUUCCACCAUUGCUGCUCAGACGUAUCGCUUUAUGAAGGAGGUGGAAGGAGGUCAGAUCAUACUCAGCACUUCCGAGUGGGGAAGAAAGAGGGAGGACUAGGACCUGGACUCAAGGAUUCUGCUCCAGACCUUUACUUGCACCACAAGCCUUCCUCCUCUGCCUCAUCCAUGCUCCCUAGUAUGCCGAGGAUGCAGCCCCAGCCAGAGGCUUCAGAAAGCUUUAAGGAUUCUUGUGUUCCUUGGAAUCAAGCCUGGAAAUGGAAAUCUGGUGUAGUCUCAUGUUGUGAGGCAAUGCAGCCCAGCCUUUGAAAACAGAUAGACCUGCCAU